This 478-nucleotide ribosomal RNA is filed under the name uncultured bacterium. RNAcentral describes it as "partial 16S ribosomal RNA". It matches the Rfam family "Bacterial small subunit ribosomal RNA", at positions 28 to 507 of the family's 1533-position model. The record is from RNAcentral.
GAUGAACGCUAGCGGCAGGCCUAACACAUGCAAGUCGAGGGAGAAGCCCUUUCGGGGGCAGAAACCGGCGCACGGGUGCGUAACGCGUAUGCAACCUACCUUUCACAGGGGGAUAGCCCGAAGAAAUUUGGAUUAAUACCCCAUAAUAUUAUUGGAUGGCAUCAUUUGAUAAUUAAAACUGCGGUGGUGAAGGAUGGGCAUGCGUCCUAUUAGCUAGUUGGAGUGGUAACGGCACCCCAAGGCUACGAUAGGUAGGGGUCCUGAGAGGGAGAUCCCCCACACUGGUACUGGGACAGGGACCAGACUCCUACGGGAGGCAGCAGUGAGGAAUAUUGGUCAAUGGUCGGAAGACUGAACCAGCCAUGCCGCGUGCAGGAAGAAUGCCUUAUGGGUUGUAAACUGCUUUUAGAUGGGAAGAAUAAGGCGUACGUGUACGUUGAUGACGGUACCAUAUGAAGAAGCAUCGGCUAACUCCGUG